Molecule: long non-coding RNA, 446 nt
Organism: Sardina pilchardus (European sardine)
Lineage: Eukaryota; Metazoa; Chordata; Actinopteri; Clupeiformes; Clupeidae
Exons: 5
Source: RefSeq, a predicted model, not a curated record
AGACCAGCGAUAAGAAUGUUUGCACAGCCGUGGAAGUCAUGCUACGCUUGGCAGAAAUCACUGCAACAUCAAGGAUCCCACAGUAAUACUCCAUGAAAUUAGGAGGCAUCUUAUUGGCGUGGAGUCAUUAGUCACAGGCGUGUCAGGACAGCCUCCAUCUUCACCCCUUUGCAGCUGUAAAGAUUUAAGAUGAAAAGCAUAUCGACAUUUAUCCUCAAAUGGCGACUGAAGAAACGGCUUUGAUUGCUAAUGAGGAGGAAGAGCCAUCAAAAAAGAUUUCCUGUUUGUGUUGCUGUCCCCAAGAGCCACCUCGAGGAAGCACCUGACGUGUAACCACACAAUGAUGAAGGUUGAUCUCCCAUUCAUAUUUCAAGAGACUGCUGUGCAACUUCAAGGAUCAUAUGGGGCUUGCAAGGACGGAAUAUUGCUCACUAUGCAAAUAUAUA